AACAACAACGUAAUAAAUGCAUCAAAUUUCAAAUUUCGGACCAUACAUUGCCGAAGCGUUUCGGUAUCGGCGGCCGGCUGUUGGACCGGCCAUUCAUAUCGAAACGGCCAUAUCGGGGUGCGAUCACCGCGGCAAAGUUCCCCGUAACGGAAAAUCCGUUCCUCGCCCGCUUCUUCUCGCCCGGAGCCGAAUCCGGUCCGCCGCUUCUCCCCGCCCGGUGAUUGCUUCUUUAUUCCAACCAAGGCCGGAGAGCGAGCGAGGGAUCAAAACCCUUAUUCUCUGGUACUCCAGAAGCGAUGGCUUCCACAGUCAUCGCUCGAGCUCCAUGGCUCCGAAGGAGAUCCACCGGCGGCGAGGGCAGGAUAAAACCUAACAAAACCCCCUCGAUGAUCGCCAUUAGGUGGCGGCGGAGGGCCUUCGCGAUGGCCUCCGUCCAAGAAGGAGACACCGGCAACGGCGGCGACAACAAUAUCGGAGCUCUCGAGUUGAAUACCGCCUUCGAUGAUCUCCAGCCCGAUAUCCUUUCCAAGGACUCCCCUUCGCUGCCCAAACCUCUCUCUAUAUCUGAUGUCGCUGGUUCGGUUAAUGGGUCUCGUCUUCGAGUUGCUUACCAGGGUCUUCCGGGUGCAUACAGUGAAGCUGCGGCGGCAAAGGCAUACCCGAAUUGCGAAGCCGUUCCAUGCGAACUAUUUGAAACUGCUUUCGAUGCUGUUGAACGUUGGCUUGUUGAUCGGGCAGUUCUACCCAUUGAAAAUUCAUUAGGUGGUAGCAUCCAUCGCAACUACGACCUUUUACUUCGUCAUAAAUUGCAUAUCGUCGGGGAAGUAAAAUAUGCAGUUAGGCAUUGCUUACUAGCCAACCCUGGUGUGAAAAAGGAAGAUUUAAAAAGAGUUCUCAGCCACCCUCAAGCUCUCGCACAGUGUGAGCAUACGCUGACAAAGUUGGGAGUUGUCAGAGAAGCUGUUGAUGAUACUGCAGGAGCUGCAAAAUUUGUUGCUGUCCAAAAACUCCAAGAUGCAGGGGCAGUUGCCAGUUCAUUGGCUGCUGAAAUUUAUGGUUUGGAUAUUCUUGCACAAGAUAUCCAGGAUGACCCUGAAAAUGUUACUCGAUUUUUAAUGCUAGCACGAGAACCAAUUAUUCCAGGUACCGACAAACCAUUUAAGACGAGCAUAGUUUUCUCUCUAGAAGAAGGACCUGGUGUGCUUUUUAAGGCUCUUGCUGUUUUUGCCAUGAGAGACAUCAACCUCACAAAGAUUGAAAGUCGUCCUCGAAAGAAAAAGCCCUUACGCAUGACUGAAGAUGGCAGCAAUGGGCCUCUAAAGUUAUUACCACAACUGUUCUGUAUUUUCAUAUUUCUUUGUGCAUUUACGUAUAUCGACAUAUCCCAAAAAAGUUAUAAAGAUUUUGAGGCAUCAAUGGCUGCGCCAAAUGCUCAGAAUGCCCUUAGGCACCUAAAGGUAUUGUCUCCUAGAAGUCCCUGCAAGAUAUCUAGGAAACCCAAAGAGGAUCAUGACAGAGCCUUCUCCUGACAGGAAUUUGCAACGUUCUUAAGAGUGCUGGGAAGUUAUCCAAUGGACACGAGCGAUGCAUGAAUGACCUGAGGAGAAGUGAACACACCUGAGCAUAGAAGUUCAUGGGCAAGGAGGUAUGAUGUGUUUAAGAAGGGAAGGAUUUACUUCAUCCAGUCAACGCAGUUUUGAGGAACAUAUGGUUGACUUGAGGAUCAAAAAUGGUGAGAGUAUCUUUGUGUAUGGAAGGUUUCCAUACAUCCAGAAUAAUAUCAUUUUUUUUUUGGCAAAAUUCAGAACCUUCGUCAAGCAAUGUAUAGAAAGUUGUUACACAAUCAUGUGGGAAGCAAUAUUUUUUUUUUCUUUUUUCAAUGUUCAAAAAUUUAUCUCUUUCCUCUCCAUUUAGUUUUUGAUCUAUUAUCCAUGUGAAUCAGAAAACUAAUUUUAUGACAUGCAAAUUUCUAAUAGUUUAUCUUCUAAUGA
Molecule: non-coding RNA, 1991 nt
Organism: Elaeis guineensis (African oil palm)
Lineage: Eukaryota; Viridiplantae; Streptophyta; Magnoliopsida; Arecales; Arecaceae
Source: RefSeq, a predicted model, not a curated record